GACCGUGGCAGGUCUUUUUCUGUUUUCCUUUCUUUUGCUCUCCCCUUCUCCUGUAUUUCCCUUUGGUUUUCUUCCUUUUCCUCAUCAUCGAUGACCAUAUCAUCCUAAUCUUUCGAUCUCAGUUUUACCUCUCCCUAUCUUUCUCUCCUUUAUCAAUUCUCAGAUUCUUCACUCUUCAGGUGUUAUAUUGAUGGUGCACAAUGAUGUUAUGUAUGGUUCUAAGUUUUGGAAAUCUCAGUUUGAGUGGGUUAUGGUUUGUUCAUAUCUCUUGGUUGCAAAUUCAUGAUGUCUCUGUGUCAUGAAAUGGAUCGGUUUGUGAUGGUUUCGGCACAAGCUUUUUCCUUCUCCAUGUCAUUAAUUGAUCUGAAACUGCUGUGGUGUUCUCACGUUAGGUUGAUUUCGGCGUUCUCCAGGAUUUCGGCAAAUUGGGUGCUGUCUCUGUGGCACCUAGAGGUUUGACGAGUGGCAGUGGCUGUAUUGACACGUGUUCUCUUUUCCUGUCUUGGAUGGUUUGCCUCCUAGUUGGAUAAUGAUAAUUUGUUUACUGUGGAGUUCAUCUUGUUUGGUUUGGUCUUUAUCUUGUUUGAUUUUUGUUUCACCCAGUUCAUGGGUUUUGUAAUUAUGCUUGUAUAGCUUUUAUUAUUCAAUAAAACUUAGACUUCCACUGU
RNA transcript from Fragaria vesca subsp. vesca, 668 nucleotides. RefSeq lists it as uncharacterized. Lineage: Eukaryota; Viridiplantae; Streptophyta; Magnoliopsida; Rosales; Rosaceae. The transcript has 2 exons. The record is from RefSeq and is a predicted model, not a curated record.